Molecule: small nuclear RNA, 246 nt
Filed under: Oryctolagus cuniculus (rabbit)
Lineage: Eukaryota; Metazoa; Chordata; Mammalia; Lagomorpha; Leporidae
Description: 7SK RNA
Rfam family: 7SK RNA
About the family: 7SK was discovered as an abundant small nuclear RNA in the mid-70s but a possible function has only recently been suggested. Two independent studies have found that 7SK RNA binds the CDK9/cyclin T complex (known as elongation factor P-TEFb). P-TEFb activates transcription by phosphorylating the C-terminal domain of RNA polymerase II.
Source: Rfam by way of RNAcentral
AGGCGAGGGGGACCUGGCCAUGACAUCUGUCAUCCCACUGGUCCCAGGGUUUUCCCAGCUGAUCUGGCCGGGGUCCCCUCCCUCCCCCAUCACCCCGUGUGCUUCCCACCUGCAGCCGCGUGCUUGGUCCAGGAGGAGGACCGUUCUCCAGGAGGGUGUGUGAGCAGCUGUGCUCCCCCACCAAAGCCCCCUUGCUGAGGACAGCAGGGGAGCAGAGCUGCCCCGGCUGACUGUUCAUCUCCUGGG